GCGGUAUGCUUAACACAUGCAAGUCGAACGGUAGCAGGCCUUCGGGCGCUGACGAGUGGCGGACGGGUGAGUAAUGCAUAGGAAUCUGCCUAUUAGUGGGGGAUAACGUGGGGAAACUCACGCUAAUACCGCAUACGACCUACGGGUGAAAGCUGGGGACCUUCGGGCCUGGCGCUAAUAGAUGAGCCUAUGUUGGAUUAGCUAGUUGGUAGGGUAAAGGCCUACCAAGGCGACGAUCCAUAGCUGGUCUGAGAGGAUGAUCAGCCACACUGGGACUGAGACACGGCCCAGACUCCUACGGGAGGCAGCAGUGGGGAAUAUUGGACAAUGGGCGAAAGCCUGAUCCAGCAAUACCGCGUGUGUGAAGAAAGCCUGAGGGUUGUAAAGCACUUUCAAUGGGAAGGAAUACCUACCGGUUAAUACCCGGUAGACUGACAUUACCCAUACAAGAAGCACCGGCUAACUCCGUGCCA
Molecule: ribosomal RNA, 473 nt
Filed under: uncultured Methylomonas sp.
Lineage: Bacteria; Pseudomonadati; Pseudomonadota; Gammaproteobacteria; Methylococcales; Methylococcaceae
Description: bacterial SSU rRNA
Rfam family: Bacterial small subunit ribosomal RNA
Source: RNAcentral